This is a non-coding RNA of Phasianus colchicus (ring-necked pheasant), 3442 nucleotides long. The record is from RefSeq and is a predicted model, not a curated record. Lineage: Eukaryota; Metazoa; Chordata; Aves; Galliformes; Phasianidae.
AUAACUAUUGACUUAAUGGAUGAUGGUGGUUGAUGUGAACCUAAAAGAUUAAUGCAUAGCUAAAAAUGACAUCUCAGAUCUUGAAACAUGUAGUUUUCUGGGCUGUAAAUAUUCUCUAUUUAAUACCAAAACAUAAAGUUGAACCUUAGUAAUAAUUCUUUCUUCAGCAGUGAUCUGUCUGUGCUGAGAUAUUUUUAUAAUGCUAGCCAUUGAUCUUCUCAAGAGCUGCUGUGUUUGAAAUAAUUAUUUCAAAGAAACAUUGAGAAAGAAGCAAGAUCAUCUUUGCACAAGAUUUUUUUUCAUCUCUUAAAUAUAUUCACUGUAGAAAUACCUCCCUCAGAAGAGGUGAAGAUCAUUCCCAGCAUCCUAGGCUGCUUUUUUCCUGCUCCAUCUGCCAGAAGUUUUGCAGCUGGCACAAUUUGUUUAUUCUGUUCAAUCUGUGCUCUCUUAAACCAGCAAUGAAUUUGAUGAUCAGUGUGCUGGGUUUUUAGCGUGCAGUUUUCUUUCUACUCUGAGCUACUCAUUGACUAUUACCACACAUCACAGUAGCUUUUCCAGUGCUUUCUCCUGCAAGGCAGAGUGGAAGCAAUAGCAGAUGGAUUGUGUGAUGGGGUCUCUGCCUUCUCGGUAGGAACCUGGUGAGUGGAGCUGAGACCUGGCACUUUGUUCUGUUAUUACUGCUGUCAGCACAGAGUCCCCAGCUGCAGUGCACCGAUGAGAGUAGUGACAGUCUGCUUUUGCAGACAUGAAAGUUGUGAGGAGCCUGUUAGCUACCAGAAAGCCAGUCUUGGGAAGUACCAGUCCUAAGAUCUGGAGGGUAAGACCAGGAAACAGCACUGUGUUUGAGACAGCUGUUGAGCAAGGAAUAUGAGUGACACAGCUCUGCUCCUGGCUCCCUUGUUUGGCCUCUGUUGACCAAAUAGCGCUGACAAUGGGCUAGUGCUGUCCCUCACUGAAGGGAAAAUCCUGCACUUAACAAAAUGCCUUGGAGCAUCAAAGUGAAGUCAGAAAGAGACUGAGAGGAAGGAAGAAUUUUCAGCAGAACAGCUGGAGAAUGUGGAUGGGGAUGUAGUGAUAGGGAGGAGCUACAGGAGCAGUGGGACUGGGCAGGAACAGGGAAAGCUGAUCAAAGUGUGAACAGAUACAAACAAAGAAAUGGGCAUUUAUGACCAUCUCCAUAAUAAAUUAUACCAUUAUUACAGUCUUCACAACCAUACUACCUCUCUCUUCCUAUUCUUCUGAAAAUUAUUGCCUCCCAACAAAGCCCCAGCCCUACAAAUGCUCAUGAUACAUAAUUCAUGUACAUGCAGGACUGUCAUUUUUUUCCCUUGCAGAUCUUCGGAGCACUCUGGAGAGACCCAUUUAUCAGAUCCAAAGCAAAGCUUUGUUUUCUUCUCUCCCCCCAGACAAAACCCUCAAGCCCAGUGCCAGCUCUACAGCAGCCUGUGUGUGUGUGUGCGCAUGCGUGUGCGUGCUCAGGAUCCUGGCAGCUCUCGAACAGAAGUGGUGGAGACCUGGCUGUAGCUGAGGACAAGGACCCCGGGGACAGGUGAAACAUGACCUUUCUGCUGCUGGGGCACUGCCUCUCACCUCAGCACACCAACAAUUUCUGCACAGGAGGACAGGGAGCUGGGGAAGCACUGGAGAGUUUCAGAUCAUAUAAUUGACUUUUUUCCUCUUCCCUCCCCCAGCGUGCUGAAACACCUGUAAAAAGAGCCUUACCUUCUUCUAAAAAUAAGCAAAAGAAGCAGUCUCUAACACCCAAUUAUCUCAGACUGGGAGAAACAGAUGUGAUUAAGGUUUUAAGGUAGCCUUCAAACGGGCAUCUGAAAAUAUGUCCAAACUGCAAAUGACAGCAGACGUGUGGUGGAAGGGAAUGUCGAUGGCAGUCACUGACUUGAGAAGUGCACAGGAUAAUAAAAGAGGUGUUAACAGAUGGGAGAUUUAAAAAAAAGAAAAGAAAAAGAGGGAAGAGCAAGGCCUGUGAAGUAACUGUUGAUGGAAGAAGUGGGAAAAUGUGCUUGGGUGGAUAUGUUUGGAGGAGGGGUCUGAGGCCUCCAGAUCUUGUGCAGCAGAAUUAGCAUUUUCCUUCUCUUGGGAACUGAGUGGCUGAAAAACUCUGGUCUGGGGAAUAUUUUUUCCAGGUGUGUUUCUGUGUUCUAGAGCAAACCCACAACUUCUCUGUGCCAUGCUGUCGUUGAGGCAGUCCCGCACCACCUGGCACCAGCCGUGUCUGUCCCACGGACUGAGUGCUGUGCUGGCCUGCCCUGCUGCAUGUCAUCAAAUGUACUCAGUUCUCAAGCCCUGUCUAAUUCCAUGAGUAGACAGCUAAUCCAGAUAAUCCUUUUGUUUUUUUUAAUUCACACCCCUUCCCCCCCCCCCUCCCAAGAAAUGACACUGCUGUUUUGGUGCCAGGUUGUGUUUAAAGUCUUCUCCAAAUGACUCCCAGGUACUGGGAGGUUGAACAGUCUGAAAGACAAAAUGAGUUCCCCUCCUGAUGCUUGUUGAGACCUGACUUACUCAACACAUUCAUGGCUGCUGCCGACAACCAGAACAGCUCAAGUGUCUUUUUAUGACACUUGCUUUUCUUGCAAAGGAGAUGACAUCUGACUCUUCUCUCAGUAACAAAACCCUCAUGACAGCUCGAAGGACUUGCUGAAAUUGCCAGUGUCCUCUCGCCAUGCACCAAAGCAAUAGGAGCCAGGUGAGGCUGCGGGGAAGGGAGUUGCUGCUCCCCACCGACACCCAUCCCAGUGUGAACAGUGAGCCCCAGAGACAACGGCGAGGACAGCAGCUUCUUUUCUGCAAAAAUAUUUCACAGUCAGACCAUCCAGGAUUUGUUUUUUGCAUCACCAACCUUCAGAUGUACAGGAAAAGUGAUGUUUGUAGAGGACUUUGCUGCUUGUGCCAGCAAUCAGAGCCGAAUUAAGGGACUUGACGCUGAGAGGGGAUGAGGACACUGAGUCAACGUGCAAUCUAAUCCGAUAUGUCAAAGAGAAAGAGGGGCUUUUGUGCUGGUUAAUGGACUGUCCUUUGGAGAUGCAGCGCUUGCCUCCGGGAAUGACGCACACACCGGCCAGGCUGGAGUGCUCAGAAGGAAUUAGGCUGUAUAAUUUCAGGUUGCCUUUGAGUCAAAGAAAGUUUUUAGAGAUUCAUUCCUUAUUUAUUGACAUGUUUGCUUUUGCUGCAGAGAAAGAAAAGGAAAAGUCCUGUGAGAUGAAAAAAAAAUAACAAAACACUUUCCAUCUUACUUCUAAAAAGCGCCUCAGGAUUUUUUACGAAGUCCCGGUUACAAAUUGCCUGCAAAGUUAAUUGGAGGACUGGACAAAAAGCAUGAUUUUUUUUUUCUUUACAUGAAUUCUUGCCUUUGCUUUGCCUAAGUGCACUCUGUGCCUAUGAUGUUGAAUGUGACCAUGUGCAGAAUAAAAAAUGAUUGCUUCUG